AUUGAACGCUGGCGGCAGGCCUAACACAUGCAAGUCGAGCGGUAGCACAGAGAGCUUGCUCUCGGGUGACGAGCGGCGGACGGGUGAGUAAUGUCUGGGAAACUGCCUGAUGGAGGGGGAUAACUACUGGAAACGGUAGCUAAUACCGCAUAACGUCGCAAGACCAAAGAGGGGGACCUUCGGGCCUCUUGCCAUCAGAUGUGCCCAGAUGGGAUUAGCUAGUAGGUGGGGUAACGGCUCACCUAGGCGACGAUCCCUAGCUGGUCUGAGAGGAUGACAAGCCACACUGGAACUGAGACACGGUCCAGACUCCUACGGGAGGCAGCAGUGGGGAAUAUUGCACAAUGGGCGCAAGCCUGAUGCAGCCAUGCCGCGUGUAUGAAGAAGGCCUUCGGGUUGUAAAGUACUUUCAGCGGGGAGGAAGGCGAUAAGGUUAAUAACCUUGUCGAUUGACGUUACCCGCAGAAGAAGCACCGGCUAACUCCGUGCCAGCCGCCGCAGUAA
RNAcentral lists this ribosomal RNA (504 nucleotides) under uncultured bacterium. RNAcentral describes it as "partial 16S ribosomal RNA". It matches the Rfam family "Bacterial small subunit ribosomal RNA", at positions 30 to 523 of the family's 1533-position model. The record is from RNAcentral.